AGAAGUCAAAGAAGGGAGGCGCACAGCAGGAGGGGAAGAAAGAGGAGAUGGAACAGCUGGCUGCCUUGAAGGAGAUCAGUGUAUCAAAAAGGCUCCCCAAAACAACCUGGCAGAUGCAGGAGAUGACAAGUCUUCAGUUGUCAACCACUUAGACAAGAUGAGUCCUUCACUGAAGAUGGACUGGACCUGCACUAUUGCUGCGCCGCUGUGGCCAAUGUAGACAGGCCUGGAAGGCUCACCUCAUGGGCAGAGAGGGCUGUAAACAGAACUCACGGAGGACUGUGGUAUCGCAGUAAGCUCAGCAGGCACAAGAUGUCCUUUGUGUCCAAUCAAACAUGCAUAUGUUGACCAAUGGGUAAAAUUGUAUGUUUAUUGUGUAGAUCCUCCUCUAAAUAAACAAUGGUCAAACCUCAUGUCUCUAU
Molecule: non-coding RNA, 422 nt
Organism: Oncorhynchus mykiss (rainbow trout)
Lineage: Eukaryota; Metazoa; Chordata; Actinopteri; Salmoniformes; Salmonidae
Source: RefSeq, a predicted model, not a curated record